Epinephelus lanceolatus (giant grouper) is the source of this 658-nucleotide non-coding RNA. NCBI's taxonomy places the organism in Eukaryota, Metazoa, Chordata, Actinopteri, Perciformes, Serranidae. The record is from RefSeq and is a predicted model, not a curated record.
GCCAGUCCAUGGGUGCAAACCUUGCGUCUGUACAUCUAGCUGAGGAGUAUCAUGGGAUUAAAAAGAUGAUAGAAGAUAAAACUCAUGGGCAUCCACAGACAUGGCUUGGAGGUUCUGAUGCUGAAGAGGAGGGUGUUUGGCUCUGGAAUGAUGGUACACGUUUCAGCUUUUCAUACUGGUGCAGGGGGGAGCCGAACAAUGAUGGGUGGCAGCACUGUAUACAGAUGAGUUAUGGAGAUAACAAAUGCUGGGAUGAUACAAAGUGUCACUAUCACCUAUCUUCUGUCUGUGCCAAGAAAAUCUAACGAUUCCUGGUCUGACACACGAGGCAUGAAGUCCCUGUAAGCAACACAAACUGGAGGAUUGUUUGAGUAUGUUUGCAGACUCAUCUGUCUUUAUGCCAUCAGUCUCAUGUAACCUGAAGGCUCUGUAUCACAUUUCUUAUUUGUCUUUGCUAUCGCUGUAACGCUACUGAAGGAAUGAAGUGACAAGUGACAUAAACAGGAGCUGGACUGUCUCUGAGGCCUUGUGCCUUUAAUGAGAGCAGACUGAAUGUGUUAUGAAAAGAAUGCUUUUAGCACAAAUCUACAUAUAUUCUGCAAAGUAAACUCUUCUUUCUUGUCUUAUGCAAAAUUAAAGGCUCAAGCAUCAAAACAAA